This 305-nucleotide unclassified non-coding RNA is filed under the name plant metagenome. RNAcentral describes it as "partial contains 5.8S ribosomal RNA, internal transcribed spacer 2, and large subunit ribosomal RNA". The stretch from base 1 to 105 matches the Rfam family "5.8S ribosomal RNA", at positions 50 to 154 of the family's 154-position model. The record is from RNAcentral.
GAAAUGCGAUAAGUAGUGUGAAUUGCAGAAUUCAGUGAAUCAUCGAAUCUUUGAACGCACAUUGCGCCCCUCGGUAUUCCGUGGGGCAUGCCUGUUCGAGCGUCAUCUACACCCUCAAGCUCUGCUUGGUGUUGGGCGUCUGUCCCGCCUCCGCGCGCGGACUCGCCCCAAAUGCAUUGGCAGCGGUUCCUUGCCCCCCUCUUUGCGCAGCACAUUGCCAUUCGAGGCGGCGGCCGCCCGCGCCGUUAAAACUCUUCAUCACAGGUUGACCUCGGAUCGGGUAGGGAUACCCGCUGAACUUAAGC